RNAcentral lists this ribosomal RNA (234 nucleotides) under uncultured bacterium. Its description in RNAcentral is "partial 16S ribosomal RNA". It matches the Rfam family "Bacterial small subunit ribosomal RNA", at positions 1266 to 1500 of the family's 1533-position model. The record is from RNAcentral.
AGCAAAUCUCCAAAAAAUGUCUCAGUUCAGAUUGCAGGCUGCAACUCGCCUGCAUGAAGUCGGAAUUGCUAGUAAUCGUAGGUCAGCAUACUACGGUGAAUACGUUCCCGGGCCUUGUACACACCGCCCGUCAAACCAUGAGAGUUGGCAACACCCGAAGUCGGUAGUCUAACCGCAAGGAGGACGCCGCCGAAGGUGGGGUCGAUGAUUAGGGUUAAGUCGUAACAAGGUACC